This 1413-nucleotide long non-coding RNA is filed under the name Macaca fascicularis (crab-eating macaque). RNAcentral's name for it is "lncRNA (ENSMFAG00000048074.1)". Lineage: Eukaryota; Metazoa; Chordata; Mammalia; Primates; Cercopithecidae. The record is from RNAcentral.
GCCCAGGUUCCCCGCGCUCCCCGCUUUGGGCCCUUCCUCCCACCGUCACUCGGCCCCCUCCGCCCGACUCGGGUUUCUCCUGAGGCGGCCCCUCCUCCUUUUUACAACUCGGGAGAGGGGAGCGGGGACUGUGGCCUCGCGUGGACUGUUUGGGUCCAGGGGGAAAGAAGCGAUCCUCAAGGCGCACCCCCUUCUCGCCCCGUCCCAAACCACCCAUUGAGGACCCGGCGACCCGAAAGCCCCGCCAGAGCCAGUCUUUGCAGUCCUAACGCGACUCCCGGUCACGUCUCUCCCCGCAGGGGCGCUGCGCGGUCCUCGCUCCCCGCAAAAGCUGCUGGCGAAGGAGCCCCUGCUCAGGAAUGCGCAUCUGAGUGCACCAGGAAAAGGAACAAAUCUUUGAAGCAAAUUCCCUUUCUGCGCGUUUUCCCCCCUGAGCGAAUUCAGGGUAAAAGUUUUUCCGAACUUUUCCCUCCCAGUCCCCCGCCCCUCCCCUCAGGAAUCCGCCCAGAGCGCUGCGGACACCGCCUCCGCCGCUCCCGCGUCCGCCCCUUCCGACUUCCGCCCAAUCCAAAGGCGGCCACCGAAAAAACAAAGGCUGCCAUUGGGCCGCCGGGACCUGGGGCCGCCCCCGGAGUGGUUUGUGAAUGGGGGGGAGGGGGAGGGGCGAGCCGGUCCAGAACCCCGCGAGCCCGACGCUUCUUCUGGCGACCAGCGCGACUCCGAGGCGUUAGUCGGCGCUCCCCUCCCCGGCGGGCGGCGGCGGCGGGCGCCAGGACUUGCGGCUGGGGCUGCGCGGGGCUGGAGGGAGGCCAGGGCCAGGCCGCGGGCACGAGCGCCUCGCGGUUUCGGACGCAGUGUGACUGGAUUUCCAAAAAGAACUCGCCGCGCUCCCGACUCUGGGGCCGAGAUCGGACUCAGCGAGAGCCGGCCGUUUGGCUGAAACUUGGGGCCGAGGUUUUGGGGUUGAAGAAGGAGUGGGGUGUGGAGGAGGAGGCGAAGGAGGCGGCGGCGAGCGGAGCCUGGAGGCCAGGAGGCAGGGCAGCACCGCGGAGGCGGCGGCUGGGGCGAGCGGGCGGCGGCGCCAGGGGUUCUCCAGGAGGGGUUCUCCUGGAGGGGCCCGAGCCGGGGCCGUGCGCGCUGCCGUGCGCCGGGGGUCCAGAGACUUGGGCAAACUUUGAAGGGUGCCCGGAGCCGCUUGUUGCUCCUCGCGGCGGAGGGAGCCUCACCGUUAAGUCCUCGCGGGGAGAGCAAGGCGGCCCUCCUCGGCGCCCCCAACCCAGGCUGACGAGUUUUGGGCCCCCGGCGGCCCUGCGAGUGCCGGGCGGCGGCGGCUGCGGCGCCCCCGCGGCGCGGGCACCCAGGCGGCAGCGCCCUUUGCUCCACGCCGCCCACGGCCCGGCCCCGGCGCCGUGA